GUUCACUGCCGUACAGGUAGCUUAGAAA
This is a non-coding RNA of Methylomicrobium album BG8, 28 nucleotides long. The record is from Rfam. Lineage: Bacteria; Pseudomonadati; Pseudomonadota; Gammaproteobacteria; Methylococcales; Methylococcaceae.